RNAcentral lists this ribosomal RNA (256 nucleotides) under uncultured archaeon. RNAcentral's name for it is "partial 16S ribosomal RNA". It matches the Rfam family "Bacterial small subunit ribosomal RNA", at positions 521 to 776 of the family's 1533-position model. The record is from RNAcentral.
UAAUACGGAGGGUGCAAGCGUUAAUCGGAAUUACUGGGCGUAAAGCGCACGCAGGCGGUUGGAUAAGUUAGAUGUGAAAGCCCCGGGCUCAACCUGGGAAUUGCAUUUAAAACUGUCCAGCUAGAGUCUUGUAGAGGGGGGUAGAAUUCCAGGUGUAGCGGUGAAAUGCGUAGAGAUCUGGAGGAAUACCGGUGGCGAAGGCGGCCCCCUGGACAAAGACUGACGCUCAGGUGCGAAAGCGUGGGGAGCAAACAGG